CACCUUCACCUUCAAGACCGCCCCACCUUUCCAUCAUCCCACUGGAAACUGGAAAACCCAGUUUUAUUCUCCCGCUCCUGCAGCUGGUGGCCCAGGUGACCAGAAAACCCUUCCAGAGGGGGACAACCCUGGACUCUUGACACAUGUCCAUUACCUGUUGGCUUCCAGGAGGAGCAGGAUAUCCAGCCAACUGCUGGGGGCAGGCAGACAUGUCCAUUACCUGUCGGCUUUCAGGAGUAGGAUAUCCAGCCAACUGCUGGGGGCAGGCAGUAGCUAACUCAUUAAUCAGUAUUUUAACCCUUUAUUUAGGCACAUUUAGCCCUUUAUUUAAGCUUCACAGAAGCUGCUGAUGCCAUCCGCGUUGCUCCUCUGCAGAGGAACACCCACCCCCUGGCAGCAGACCUGGGGUUCACACCAUUAACCACUCUGGGUUUUCAGCCCUUAAUGUUUAAUAUAAAGGUUUAUCUGGCCCCAAAACUUUUUAUCACCUGCUCCUAGCCCAGCCCGAGCAGCAAGUAACAUGGGUCUGAGGUGGGUUUCUGCACCUCUCACCAUCAUACUCAGGAGAGGAGACACGAUUAUCCCACAGGAAUCCCACUUCUGACUCCAACUGAGAGGCACCUGUAGGAGUAUCCACAAUUUCUUUCACAUUCCAGCACUAACGAGGCAAAUCACUCACAAAGAAAUGCACAUCGAGCCAAAAAUAGUUACGUUUAUUUAAUUCUCUCCCACAGCUAGGCAUACAUUUACAAUCAAUCAAUAUUUUGUUUUGUUUUAUUUCCGUAACACAGAUGGACAAAUUCCUGCUCAUGCCCACGUCCCAUGUGCUGUCCCCUCUGCUACUACUAAUUCCCCCUGGAAUGUCCUCCCCACGCUGGAGCCAACUCACACCUUCCCUGGCAGCUGGUACCACGGAUGGCCCCACUGCUGGGGGGGGGAUGUGGGUCCACAGACCAGCUGGUGGCAAGUUCAAGUCCACACGUGGCUUUGUUUUCUUGUAUUCUUAUACAUUGGGCUCCCACCCUUUGAGAACACCCCAAAGGCAGCUCCUUCCUGGUGGGCCAGCCAUCUAGGGUGGCUUUUUUCUUUUUUCGUGGUGCCUUUAAGGCAACACCAAAUUCACCCCAGCCCCAUGGCUUUAUUGGCUUUCCCACUAAGCAGCUGCACAACCCACCACACGACCAGGCGUUUCUUCUCAUUUAUGGGGAUCUUCCAGCCCGUUCUCAUCUCUGGGGCUACAUUUUGACUCCAGAUACCGCAUGAACUGACCCUUAGCUAUCACCUCCAUUUAUUACUGGGGCCAAUUCUCUCAAUAUACUCACCCUCUCCCACUAGACACAUGGAUUCUUUUCUGUUGUCAGCAUCUCGAUGCAAUCAGGCACCAGUAUCUGCAACAAUUAAGAAAAAAAAAUAAUAAAAUUUAGCUUCUGCUCGGUGAGAAGCA
RNAcentral lists this long non-coding RNA (1444 nucleotides) under Calidris pugnax (ruff). Its description in RNAcentral is "lncRNA (ENSCPUG00000012572.1)". Lineage: Eukaryota; Metazoa; Chordata; Aves; Charadriiformes; Scolopacidae. The record is from RNAcentral.